AUACGGAGGAUCUGAGCGUUAUCCGGAUUUAUUGGGUUUAAAGGGAGCGUAGAUGGAUGUUUAAGUCAGUUGUGAAAGUUUGCGGCUCAACCGUAAAAUUGCAGUUGAUACUGGAUAUCUUGAGUGCAGUUGAGGCAGGCGGAAUUCGUGGUGUAGCGGUGAAAUGCUUAGAUAUCACGAAGAAAUCCGAUUGCGAAGGCAGCCUGCUAAGCUGCGACUGACAUUGAGGCUCGAAAGUGUGGGUAUCAAACAGGAUUAGAUACCCUUGUAGUCCACACGGUAAACGAUGAAUACUCGCUGUUUGCGAUAUACGGCAAGCGGCCAAGCGAAAGCGUUAAUUAUUCCGCCUGGGGAGUACGGCGGCAACGGUGAAACUUAAAGGAAUUGACGGGG
RNAcentral lists this ribosomal RNA (393 nucleotides) under uncultured bacterium. Its description in RNAcentral is "partial 16S ribosomal RNA". It matches the Rfam family "Bacterial small subunit ribosomal RNA", at positions 523 to 918 of the family's 1533-position model. The record is from RNAcentral.